Molecule: RNA transcript, 6977 nt
Organism: Manis pentadactyla (Chinese pangolin)
Lineage: Eukaryota; Metazoa; Chordata; Mammalia; Pholidota; Manidae
Gene: SUSD1
Gene name: sushi domain containing 1
Exons: 18
Source: RefSeq, a predicted model, not a curated record
GGGACCUCGCGGCACCCUCCGCUCCCCGGCGCGGCGCCGGAAGCUGCCGGGCCGGGCCCUCCCCGCGGCGCCCGCCGCCUUAUCUCGGCGCCUCGGGGCCGCAGGCGGAGCGGCAGCGCGCCGGGAGCGAGGCGGCCGCGGCAUGGGCCGGGGGCCCCGGGGCGCGGGCCGCCCGCCUCGCCGCCUGCUCCCCCUCCUGCUGCUGCUCGGCCUGGCCCGCGGCGCCGCAGCAGCGCCGGGCGCGGACGAUGUGUGUGCUACUUGCCAUGAACAUGCUACCUGCAAGCAAAGAGACGGAAAGAAGAUGUGCAUUUGCAAAUACGGAUUUGUGGGCAAUGGGAGGACUCAGUGUAAUGAUAAAAACGAGUGCCAGUUUGGAGCCACCGUGGUCUGUGGGAACCACACAUCUUGCCACAACACGCUCGGAGGCUUUUACUGCAUUUGCUUAGAAGGGUAUCGAGCCACAAACAACAACAAGACAUUCAUUCCCAAUGAUGGCACCUUUUGCACAGAUGUAGAUGAGUGUGAGGUUUCCGGCCUGUGCAGGCAAGGAGGACGGUGUGUGAACACUCACGGCAGCUUUGAAUGCUACUGUUUGGAUGGAUACUUACCAAAGAGCGGGCCCGAGCCUUUCCACCCGACCAGAGAUGCCACAUCAUGCACAGAAAUAGACUGUGGUGCCCCUCCUGAAGUCCCAGAUGGUUAUAUCAUAGGAAAUUAUACCUCUAGGCUUGGCAGCCAGGUUCGUUAUACCUGCAAAGAAGGAUUUCUCAGUGAUUCAGAAGAUACAGUUUCAAGCUGCACAGCCUUGGGCACAUGGGAGUCCCCCAAAUUAAACUGCCAAGAGAUCAGCUGUGGCCGCCCUCCGGAAGUGCAGCAUGCGGUCCUGGUGGGGAAUCCCAGCUCCAGCCUGGGCAGUGUGGCUCACUACGUCUGUCAAGAGGGCUUUGAGAGCCCUGGAGGAAAGAUCACUUCUGUUUGUACAGAGAAAGGCACCUGGAGAGAAAGUACUUUGAUGUGCACAGAAAUAAUUACAGAAAUUAAUGAUGUAUCUGUGUUUAAUAACACCUGUGUGAGGUGGCAAGUAAAUCCAGGGAGAAUAAACUCUAGGAUUGUCUAUGUGAUACACAUAAAAGGACAGCGGCUGGACCCUGUGGCAUCAGUUCAUGAGGAGACAGUCAACUUGACCACAGCCAGCAGGACCCCAGAAGUGUGCCUAGACCUGUACCAAGGCACCAACUACACCAUGAGCAUUUCCACGGCCCCUCCUACACACUCUGUGCCGGCCGUCAUUGGGUUCCAGACAGCAGAAGAUGACCUCUUAGGAGAUGAUGGAAUGUUCAAUAUUUCAAUAUUUAAUGAAGCUUGUUUGAAACUGAACAGGCACUCUAGGAAGGUUGGAUCAGAACAAGUGUACCAAUUUAAAGUUCUGGGUCAAAGGUGGUAUCUGAGUCAUUUUUAUCACUCAACAUCAUUUAACUUCACAACGAGGGAACAAGCUCCUGUGGUAUGUUUGGAUCUGUAUCCAGCCACUGAUUACACAGUGAAUAUCACCCUGCUGGGAUCCCCCAGGCAGCACUCAGCCCAAAUAAUGAUGACAACUGCCCCAGCAGUAAAACAGACCAUUGGUAACAUUUCAAUAUUUAAUGAAACCUGCUUGAGAUGGAGAAGCAUGAAGACAGCUGACACAGAGGAGAUGUAUUUAUUCCACGUUCAGGGCCAGCGAUGGUAUCAGAAGGAAUUUGUCCAGGAAAUGACCUUUAAUAUCACUACCAGCAGCCGGGCUCCAGAGAUGUGCUUGGACCUGCGCGCAGGGACCAACUACAGCGUUGGCAUCCAGGCUUUGUCCUCUGGACUUCCUGCGGUCAUCUCCCUGACAACCCAGAUAACAGAGCCUCCCCUCCCGGAAGUGGACUUCUUCGCAGUGAAUGGAGGGCCCCUACCACACCUGAGACUGAGGAAAGCCACAGAGGAAAAUGGACCUAUCAGUUCUUAUCAGGUGUUAGUACUUCCCCUGGCUCUCCAAAGCACAUUUGCUUGUGACUCUGAAGGGCCCACCUCAUUCUUCAGCAACACUUCUGGUGCUGAUGGAUACGUGACUGCAGAACUACUGGCCAGAGAUGUUCCAGAUGAUACGCAGAUAUCUAUCGGAGACAGGCUGUACUAUGGGAGAUAUUAUAAUGCACCCUUGAAAAUAGGGAAUGAUUACUGCAUUAUCUUACGAGUGACAAGUGAAUGGAAUCAGGUGAGAAGAAGCACGUGUGCAGUUUGGGCUCAGGUGAAAGAUUUCAUACCCUUGAGGGAGGGCAUUUGAAGAGCUGCAGCAGUGCCCAGCACACAGUAGAUUCGUCGCUCAUGCUGCAGCAGAUGGUGGGCGCUGGCCUGGGCUCUGUGGCGGUUGUGAUCGUUCUGGCAUUCCUCUCCUUCUCAGCAAUGUGAUGGGCACUACAUGGGGAGGAUGCGGUGCUACGGGGGCAGAUGUUCUGACAGCCUCUUGGGUGCCUGCACAGAGACCUCCUGGGACUCUCAUCCAGGCGUGUGUGUGGGUCUGCAGCCUUCUCCAUUCCCAGCCUGGCCCCGUUUCUGGAUUCAAGACUGUGACUAUUUCUAUGGAAUCCCUCACAAGGUGGAAACUCAGGAAUUGCUGACAUCUUCCCCGCUUCGUGACCAGUUCUGUGUCUGUGGGCUUGAGACCCUUGAUAUACAAUGUCAUAUUGACCCAGACUACAGAUCACAUGGGCUGGGCCGGUGUCUUCCCUGAGUGAUGCCUGAGAGCACCUCUAGACAUUGAGUGCAAGAGAGCCUCUGCAUCUUCCUUUAUAGCAUCUCUGUUAAUUAAUUCAAAAUCCAUUCUUUUACAAUAAUCAAUGAGAGGGACUUAAGUUUGGGCUAGAAUUUGACUUUCUGAAGGAGGUCAUGGAAGAGGAUAGAGAUCACAUACAGAGACAAACUGUCAAACACCUUUGAGCAGCCAUUUUCCUACAGUUAGUUGACAUACUAACUGGAAGUGUGCGAACCUGGCCUCUCCACUAAGUUGCCUGCCUUGUCUGGUAGGCACCAACCAUUGCUUUGAUACACUUCCAUUUGUCUUAUAGCUAUUCAAAAGCCCUAAAGUCACUCCAGUAAACAUAUUCUGUUACUUUAGACAUUUGUCUGUUCCACAGGAAUGUUUGUAGCAGCCUUGAGUGAUUUUUUAUUAUGAGUGUCUCCUAAAAAUGCUCUGUGCCUCCCUUUACGUUCGGUGCUCAUAUUGGGUUGAAAUGAUCUCAAGCCCAUGGCCAGAGUCCAUGUGUUUACAGGGGAGGGGGAACAAUGUGGGUGACACAGUCAUCCCUUUAAUCUACAAUGUCAGUAACUCUGUGACUUUAUCAUGAGCCAUGACACAUUAGUUGUAAGCAAUACUGGGCCUACUGUCAAUAUGCUGAGUUUACAGGUGGAGUGUGUUAGGUUUGACUGUUAAGGCCUGAAUCCGUAUUCUUUAACUUCCCUCCCUAACCAACAGUGUACCAACAGUGUUACUCCAAGGCUCAGUUAGAAACAAAUGCAGAAGAAACACAGAGGCUGUAGCUUCUCUAAGUAACCGCAUUCCCCUCCCUUUACUCCCUCCCUUUCUGGGCCCAGACAAUAAAAAGCAUGGGGGGUUUGCGGGGAACAGUUCUCUUACGCAACCCCAGCGUCUAGCAUAUAUGAACCUGGUCCUGGAAUUGUGCAACAUCACGGUCCUGAGGAAGAGGAAUGGUCCUUCUGCCACGGUGGGCUGGUGUGCUCUUCACCAGCACACUGGGCAUUGAGGAGGGACAGAUGUGAGCAGCCUGGGCUUGUGGGCAGAUGAGGAGAGAGUAGGAACCGGUGAAAACUGUCUAUGAAGCUGGCCCAAAGUGUAUCCACCCAACUGGGAAGAGUCAGGGGAGGGAAGUGAUGCCUGACUCUUGGGUGCUCAGUGCCAGCCCCGGGCCCCUGCCAGUACUGGGCAGUAUUGGGAAUAACUGUCCUUUUCCUCUGAGAUACUACCUCAGACUACAAAUUACGAUCCGCAUUUAGAACCCUUCCUGCUCUCAGAUGAACUGCAGAGUAGAGCUCUCAGUAAACUAAUGCAAACAGCUUUCUACUUUUGAUUUUUAUGUACAACAAUUCAAACUCAUACUGUUUUCUCUUGAAUUAAACUUGGAAUCUUACAAGUUAUUAUGAUUAAAUAUUGGAUAGGGUGUCUGAUGAGUAAGGAUUUUCCUCAAAGCCUCUUCUAUCCAAAGAGAGAAUCUGGGCCUUUCCGUCUUCUUCUUAUGAACUGGUUCUGUAAAUACCAUGUGUUUCUAUAGCCUCCCUAAUUUCCAGCUCUGGAAUUAACUGCCAAAGAAGCUACAGUUGUCCACAUGGAACUUAGCAUAAUUGUCAUUGAAGGGAAGAAAUCCCACUUGCUUAACAUUAAAAUUUUAUGGUUAAAAUAACUGAUUAAAUGUUAAGUAAUAAGUAAAACAUACUUCUGGGUACAAUGCAGAAAUGUAAAAACAGUUCAUGAAAUCGGAGUACCAAAAUAGCAAAAAACAUGGACUUUGUCACUGCCUCUAAAUGUUCCAAAUUUCAGAGCUUUUGUUCAGCAUUAAUACUUAACAGGAGCAGGCAAGAAGCAUUUGCAAAAAGGAUGUCCCAUUUUUCUGCAUUUCUUUUCUAAUUUCCUCAUAAACAUGAAGGCAGCUUUACAUUUUCUGAGCUCACGUGGUAGAUUUAUAACAAUGCUGUUCUUUUUUACCAAGUGGAUUCUUGGUUAAGGUGGGGAGGGCCUCCCAGGAGACCAAGAAUGGAUCUCCCUGGGAGAGCACAGGGUCCUUCCAUUGAAGGUCUGAUCAGGUAGCACUCUGAGUUGGAUUAUGAGUACCACUAAAUACAGCUAGAUCCUAAGGUGGGGGUAGAGGAAGGAUCUUCGCCCUGUUACCUGUCUUGGAGACAGCAUGUAGAGGUGAGCAGAAGGAUCCAGUCUUAAGCUCCCUUCUAGAUUAGGAUUCAAAACUGGGGAGUUGCCCAGACUGUUCCCUGGCUGGUUUUGUGUGUGCCCACAGUUUUUAUUUAUCUCCACCACAGUUUCUGUUUAUACACGUUCUUCCAUUCCAUUCACACAACAGUUCUGUGUGCUGGGAAGGUUCGGUUUAUCUCUUUCCCCGUGUUAGAAUGGGGAGGUGGGGGUCAGACAGACACAUGACUUAAAUUGUGGAGCCAAAGCUGACUGCAAGUCUAGUUCUCAUUCCUAGGAUUUGAUAGGCCUUGAGCAAAUCUUUGGACAGCUCUUUUGGUUCUUGGGAAAUUGAGUCCUUUACAUUUCAUACAUACUUAUAUAUUCAACCAUUGCCUAUACUGUUAUAGCACAUGUGUCUUUUUAUAUCUGUCUUUUCACUGUGAAGUUCCUCCUCCCAUCACUUCUAGAAGGAGCCACAACCAACCAAACCAAUCGAUGGAAGUUAAUUAAGGGGAAUAAGUACUAGUCCAUCUCUGGCUCAGGACCACCUGAAAUUGCAGUUGGGCACUUAAGAUUUAAGACCAGAGCAGAAGUUAUUAUCUUGAAAUUCUGCAUUAGCUUAAAGUUAAUAUUUAAAUCGAUUUUAAAGGAAGUUAAAAAGAAAUUCUCAAUGUUCCCUUUUUAUUGCUAACCUCAUAUUCUUAUUUUCUAAGCCUUCUGUUUUUUCAUUCUAUUCAUCUAAGAGAAAACUGGUGGUGGUAGUAGUCAAUCAAAUAAUGUUUUAAGGGCCUUUUGCCUACCACACCGUUGCUGGUAUGUGAUUAAAUUGAAGUUCCUGAUUUUGGAGAGGAAAGAGGGUGUUGCUUUUUCUGUGCCCUGGCUCGUGGGCCUGUGAUCCAAUGAAGCAAAUCAUGUGAAAAAGCAGUGUAUGCUCAUGUUUUUCAGAGAGAGAGAGAGAGAGAGAGAAAGAGAAUGAAUCAUUUUUGUGAUAUAUGUGUGUACCACAUCCAUGUUUCCAUAUCCAUACAUUCUUGGCACAGCUCAGGGUUGCCAAAAUGGGUCAAACUAUGCAUGUCAUUUUGUAACAUGCUGCUUUUGUUUAUCAGCAUACCCUGGACACAUUUUUUAUGUCAGGAAUGAUUGCAUUAAAUCUCAUAUCCUAAUUUAUUUGACCAAUACUCUAUUGUGUGUUGUGCAUUUGGAGUGUUUCCAGAUGUUUACUACUUUCAUACAAGUCUGUAUAAUUGUACGCAAUUGUCAAGUAGGCAACUAUUCCUGGAAGUGAAAUUGUUGGAAUGAAUUGUUGGAAUGAAAACUACAUACAUUUUAUGCUGACCACAUAAUGUCAGAGGAACCUCAGAGAAACUUUAUGCCAAUUUACAUGCACCAACAGAAAACCUCAACACCAUUCGGCAUUGUUGAUACCUUUAAUCUGGCAGGUGAAAAUGAUGUUUCAGUGUUUUGUUGGCAUUUCUCUGACUACUUUGCAUACUGAUCCGUCAUUUAUAAUUCUGUCUUGGUGAAUUGCCUUUUUUCCCAGCCCAGGAUUGUUUGUCUUUUGUUGAUUUGAAAAAGUACUUUGUAUCAUAGUAAUUUUCACUUGUUGCUGUCAUAUAUUUCAUGAACAAAUUUUCUAGUUAAUCCUUCAGUUCCUUUUUGACUUCGUUUGAGUCAUAUGUUGUCACACAAAAACCUUAAAUUUGUAUCAUCAAAUUUAUCAGUCACUUUCCUUCAUAUUUUGCUUUUGGUGCCAUGCUUAGAAGAACCCUCCAAUUUCAAGGUAAUAAAUGUAACUCAGCAGUUAAACAUUUAAAUCUUUAAUCCAUCUGAAAUUUAUUUUAGCAUAAGGAGUGAGGUUUGGCGGAAUCUUUUUUUGUUGCUAAAUGGUUUCAGCCUGUUGUCCUGCUAAUAGUCAUUGACUGCUAUUUUUUCCCUUUGGGAUUUGAAUCAUAGACUAAAGUGUAUUUCUGAAACUUUCUCUUGUUCUUCCAACCUAUUUCUGGGCUCAUACUAUCUGCUGUAACUUUAA